RNAcentral lists this long non-coding RNA (235 nucleotides) under Solanum tuberosum (potato). Its description in RNAcentral is "long non-coding RNA (STUB_LNC010028)". The record is from RNAcentral. Lineage: Eukaryota; Viridiplantae; Streptophyta; Magnoliopsida; Solanales; Solanaceae.
UUCUCCUUACAAUUCUUAUUCCUUAGUUAAGAUAUAGUAUAUAAUUAUGUCUAAGAUAAUUAUUAGUAGUAGAUUACUUAUUAUUGCAACAGAAGUUUGUCCUUCAAAAUUUGUGGUGAAGCGUCCACUUCCUAAAGUGUUGGCAACCAUCAAUGUAGAAGAGUCUUAUGAUUUGGCCAAAUCAGUGAAACAAAACACAACAUGACAUGUACAUCUCUUAUAUAUAGCUCUAUCA